ACACGCCACAACAACGAGAAAAAUAAAAUUUAUCCAUAAUCGAUAAACAUCAAUAACAACAAAUAGAAAAACGGAACAUGGUGGAAAUUUAUUCAUAAAAAUAGACGAUUUCAUCAUCUUCCUGAUGAUGAGGGCUCAGAUUCCUCGAAACAUGUAGAAAAAACAAAAAUAAAUAACAUCGAUAAGUACAAAGAAAAUAAUUUGACCUCAUAUCCUUUACAUCCUAUUUCAACCUAUCCGUACUUUUUGAUUAGUCGUCCAAUGAGUGUUAUUCCUGAAGCAAAUACAUCACAUGAUAUACCAAACUAGUGAUGUAAAGUUUAGUUACUUUUUAGUAUUUGUAACUAUCCGUUACUUUCAGAAAAAGUAUUCGUUACUUUGUACUCGUUACAAGUAAUCGUUUGCGCUUGAGGUUCCAGUACUAGUUUGCGCUCGAGGUACUCCUUUUAGUUGAACUACAUACUUAUAUGAAUUUAUUUUAUAUUACACUUAUUUUUGAAAACAAAUACUGUACGUAUAUUAUAUUGUGUUUGUUACGCUAUUAUGCACUGUGCACUAAUAUCAAAAAAUAGAGUGUAGGUUAUGGGAUUUACUUUUUCACUGCAUAUUAUAACGAAGAAUUUUUCUUAAUUAUUAUUA
Onthophagus taurus is the source of this 639-nucleotide non-coding RNA. Lineage: Eukaryota; Metazoa; Arthropoda; Insecta; Coleoptera; Scarabaeidae. The record is from RefSeq and is a predicted model, not a curated record.